Molecule: long non-coding RNA, 2607 nt
Organism: Esox lucius (northern pike)
Lineage: Eukaryota; Metazoa; Chordata; Actinopteri; Esociformes; Esocidae
Source: Ensembl
CGGACUUCAUAGAAACAUUGGUUCGCUCGUGGUACUUUUUCAGCAUGUUAACAUGACACAGACGAGACGAACGUCUACGCUCGGGUGUUUUCACAAUGUAAUCUGUAUUACUGACCUUUUCCUUGAUUACGUAUGGACCAGAAUAACGGGCAGACAAUGAUGAACCCUGCACGGGCAACAGAACAAGAACGAGAUCUCCCUUCUGGAACUGACGGCUUUCAGACUUUGUAUCAUACUGUUGCUUCAUCCUUUUCUGUGCUCUGGACAGACUUUUCUGGGAUAACCUCCACGCUUCCUGCAUACGAGUACGCAUUUGUCCAACAUAAACACUAACCGUACGGGGUAACGUUUUAGGGAAUUCCGCGCACAGAACAUUUUCCUGUACAAGUGCUAAUGGACCUCGAGGUGUGCGACCGAACACCAACUCGGCCGGACUAUAGCCCAGUGACUCCUGCACUACCUCUCUAAUAGCAAAUAACACGUAAGGUACACCUUCAUCCCAGUCAUUCUCCUCACUAAAACAAUACUUUUUGAGCAUUGACUUAAGCGUUUGAUGCCAUCGUUCUAACGCACCUUGACUCUCCGGGUGGUAUGGACUAGAUACCCGGUGUCGAAUAGAAAAAGACUGUAAAACCUGUGCUAGGAGCUUGGACAUAAAAUUACUGCCCUGGUCCGUCUGUAUCUCCUUUGGAAGCCCGAAUGUCGUAAAAAACUUUAUUAAGGAUUUCGUAACGGUUCUGGCAGUGAUGUUCCGUAGAGGCACGCCCUCGGGAUACCGAGACGCACAGCACAUAAUUGUUAAAAGGUAUUGGUUACCAGUACGCGUUCGGGGUAGAGGACCCACACAAUCUAUAACCACUCGUUCAAAAGGUUCCCCCAUCACCGGAAUCGGCUGAAGAGGAGCACGGGGUAUUGUCUGAUUCGGUUUCCCAACAACCUGACAUACAUGACAGGUAUUACAGUAGUCCACUACAUCCUUUUUCAACCCAGGCCAAAAGAAGUACUGCAACACCCUAUGGUAGGUUUUAUUCACGCCCAAAUGUCCAGCCCAUUCAUGAUCGUGGGCGAUCGACAACACUUUAGGACGAAACUUAACAGGUAACACAAUCUGUGUCACAACCGCCCAGGCUGCAUCCGGAGCAUACGCGGACCAUUUACGCAUUAAUAUACCUUUUUCCAUGAAAAAACAUUUCUUCUUACCUGCAGCUUCUUUACUCGACACUACCUCUUCAAAACUCCUAGCAAGACUAUCAUCCACUUCCUGUGCUUUUCGCACCUUCUUAGUCGUCAUCUCAGACAGUACUUCGCUCAAGUCCGAUGUCUUCCUUUUUUCCUUAUCAUUUACAACAGGUACUUUCUUCAUUGUCGGCUCACUGCGUUUUUCAAUUAUUGAGUCAGCCAGGUUAAUCACGUCACCCAACCUCUUUCUUUCUGCACGGGUUACCACACAGGCUGGGAACACAACGACAUCUUCGGCAAUUUCCUUUUCGGUGCUUUGUGGGAACACGGGACUGUCUAUGACCUCCAGUACAGGCCUGACUGCACCUCCUGCAAUGUCAUUCCCUAAGAUGAGAGACACCCCAUCUAUCGGUAAACUAUUUACAACUCCCACUCGGAAAUAUCCGUUCGCAAAUUCGGAGUUUACAUACACUCUGUGUAACGGAACUGACAUGAUUCCCAUUUCGAUUCCACGUAACAGCACUUGGGAUCCUUCGGAAGUUUCCUCCGACCACGGUAAAACACUGGCUAAAAUCAGCGACUGUGCAGCCCCCGUGUCACGUAAGAUGUCAACUGUACAUUUCAUGCCGGGGUCGUUAGGCAACGACACCCAACCAACAGACACAAAAGGAGCGUAGCAGGGGUCAGGAGAUUCAUUCACUUGGUCCUUCUUCCUUACUGGAUCCACUAACCCUACCCCUGUAGGAUUUCUAGGCGGGGAGUAUUGUUUAUUCGGUCUGUUCUUUAGUUUAGGACAAUCCGCAGCUAUGUGUCCAAGUCGGUGACAAAAAUAACAUUCUCUAUUUCUAUGAAGCUGUGCAGGGUCCUCUGAUGGAACUGUUUGGUUUCUCUUAAAGUCUUGCCUCUCCUCCUGACGUCGAACAGAGAAAACUGUCUUGUGGGUGAGGGCAUAUUCAUCUGCUAAAACGGCCGCUUGGGCAACUGAUGACACUCUCUGUUCAUUUAAAUGAACCACAAUCUGAUCAGAUAACCGGCACUGUACUAACAAAGGCCACACAUCCUCUGGCCACUUCAGUGCAGCUGCCACUCUUUCAAAGGCGAGGAAGUAACUGUCAAUCUCAGCUUCACGGAACGGGGGUACCAUAGCGACGUGUUUACUGACGUCGAAAUGACUCGCGGUACUGCUGGGUGAGGUCAGCCUCUAAUCGUGAAACUUUCAUCCUCAUCCUAUAUAUCCCCUCCGGCUCGGCAGACGCCGGCGACAGCGGAGUAUAUUUGGGAAGCGUCUGAGGAAGAGGACUCCUCACUUCGCCUACCAACGUGGGCGACCGAGCAGAAACGGGAGCACCCGCUACGACUUCGUCCUCCUCAUCACUGUCAUUUUUUAAAGUGUAGACACCAGCAGCUGAGAGCAACAAUAAAUGUUCC